Molecule: ribosomal RNA, 422 nt
Filed under: uncultured bacterium
Lineage: Bacteria
Description: bacterial SSU rRNA
Rfam family: Bacterial small subunit ribosomal RNA
Source: RNAcentral
UGAGGAAUAUUGGGCAAUGCCCGCAAGGGUGACCCAGCAACGCCGCGUGGAGGAUGAAUGUCGUAAGGUUGUAAACUCCUGUUAGAGGGGAAGAAUAGGACCGGUUGGACCGGUAUAUGACUGUACCCUCAGAGAAAGCCCCGGCUAACUACGUGCCAGCAGCCGCGGUAAUCUGUAGGGGGCAAGCGUUGCCCGGAUUUACUGGGUGUAAAGGGCGCGCAGGCGGGAUAAAAAGUCAGUGGUGAAAUCCUACAGCUUAACUGUAGAACUGCCUUUGAUACUUUUAUUCUUGAGUUCGGGAGAGAGAGACGGAAUUCCAGGUGUAGUGGUGAAAUACGUAGAUAUCUGGAAGAACACCAGUUGCGAAGGCGGUCUCUUGGUCCGACACUGACGCUGAGGCGCGAAAGCGUGGGGAGCAAACA